Molecule: transfer RNA, 63 nt
Filed under: Nematolebias whitei (Rio pearlfish)
Lineage: Eukaryota; Metazoa; Chordata; Actinopteri; Cyprinodontiformes; Rivulidae
Description: tRNA-Tyr
Source: RNAcentral
UAAGAUGGCUGAAAAAGCGGUGGGUUGUAGCUCCAGGAAUAGAGGUGUAAGUCCUCUUCUUAU